UGGACUGCGCGUGCUAUACAUGCAAGUCGAGCGGACAGAAGGGAGCUUGCUCCCGGAUGUUAGCGGCGGACGGGUGAGUAACACGUGGGUAACCUGCCUGUAAGACUGGGAUAACUCCGGGAAACCGGAGCUAAUACCGGAUAGUUCCUUGAACCGCAUGGUUCAAGGAUGAAAGACGGUUUCGGCUGUCACUUACAGAUGGACCCGCGGCGCAUUAGCUAGUUGGUGAGGUAACGGCUCACCAAGGCGACGAUGCGUAGCCGACCUGAGAGGGUGAUCGGCCACACUGGGACUGAGACACGGCCCAGACUCCUACGGGAGGCAGCAGUAGGGAAUCUUCCGCAAUGGACGAAAGUCUGACGGAGCAACGCCGCGUGAGUGAUGAAGGUUUUCGGAUCGUAAAGCUCUGUUGUUAGGGAAGAACAAGUGCAAGAGUAACUGCUUGCACCAUGACGGUACCUAACCAGAAAGCCACGGCUAACUACGUGCCAGCAGCCGCGGUAAUACGUAGGUGGCAAGCGUUGUCCGGAAUUAUUGGGCGUAAAGGGCUCGCAGGCGGUUUCUUAAGUCUGAUGUGAAAGCCCCCGGCUCAACCGGGGAGGGUCAUUGGAAACUGGGAAACUUGAGUGCAGAAGAGGAGAGUGGAAUUCCACGUGUAGCGGUGAAAUGCGUAGAGAUGUGGAGGAACACCAGUGGCGAAGGCGACUCUCUGGUCUGUAACUGACGCUGAGGAGCGAAAGCGUGGGGAGCGAACAGGAUUAGAUACCCUGGUAGUCCACGCCGUAAACGAUGAGUGCUAAGUGUUAGGGGUUUCCGCCCCUUAGUGCUGCAGCUAACGCAUUAAGCACUCCGCCUGGGGAGUACGGUCGCAAGACUGAAACUCAAAGGAAUUGACGGGGGCCCGCACAAGCGGUGAGCAUGUGUUUAAUUCGAAGCAACGCGAAGAACCUUACCAGGUCUUGACAUCCUCUGACAACCCUAGAAGAUAGGGCUUUCCCUUUCGGGG
RNAcentral lists this ribosomal RNA (1006 nucleotides) under Bacillus pumilus. RNAcentral describes it as "bacterial SSU rRNA". It matches the Rfam family "Bacterial small subunit ribosomal RNA", at positions 37 to 1026 of the family's 1533-position model. Lineage: Bacteria; Bacillati; Bacillota; Bacilli; Caryophanales; Bacillaceae. The record is from RNAcentral.